This is an unclassified non-coding RNA of Capra hircus (goat), 319 nucleotides long. Its record names the gene 7SK. It matches the Rfam family "7SK RNA". From Rfam's summary of the family: 7SK was discovered as an abundant small nuclear RNA in the mid-70s but a possible function has only recently been suggested. NCBI's taxonomy places the organism in Eukaryota, Metazoa, Chordata, Mammalia, Artiodactyla, Bovidae. The record is from Ensembl.
GGGUGUGGAGGCAGUCUAACCGCAACAUCUGUCUUCCAUUGAUCGCCAGGGUUAAUUUGGCUGAUCUGGCUGGAUAAGUGGGUGUCCCCUUCCUCCCUCACUGCUCCAUGUAUGUCACUCCUGAAGUCAUGUGCUUUGUUGAAGCACAUGAGAAGGAGGACCAUUCUUUAGUCAAGGGUAUACAAGUAGCAGCAUGCCCCCGCUAGAACCUUCAAAUAAGCUCUCAGUGUCUAUUUCUAGGACAACAUAGGGUAGUCAAGGUCCCAAGACUCCAGAUGCAGGCAAAUGAGGCGCUGCCUGUGGCAGUCUGUCUUUCUCU